AGUGGGGAAUAUUGGACAAUGGGCGAAAGCCUGAUCCAGCCAUGCCGCGUGUGUGAAGAAGGUCUUCGGAUUGUAAAGCACUUUAAGUUGGGAGGAAGGGCAGUAAGUUAAUACCUUGGUGUUUUGACGUUACCGACAGAAUAAGCACCGGCUAACUUCGUGCCAGCAG
RNAcentral lists this ribosomal RNA (169 nucleotides) under uncultured bacterium. RNAcentral describes it as "partial 16S ribosomal RNA". It matches the Rfam family "Bacterial small subunit ribosomal RNA", at positions 353 to 514 of the family's 1533-position model. The record is from RNAcentral.